GCUUAUCACCAUUCCAGAUUGAAUAUACCCGAUCUCGUCUGAUCUCAGAAGUCCAGCAAUCUCGGGCUUGGUUAGUACUUGGAUGGGUGACCGCUUGGGAAUACCAAGUGUGAUAAGCA
Molecule: non-coding RNA, 119 nt
Organism: Ciona savignyi (Pacific transparent sea squirt)
Lineage: Eukaryota; Metazoa; Chordata; Ascidiacea; Phlebobranchia; Cionidae
Source: Rfam